UGGAUAGGGGAAUGGACGAGCAUUUCAUCUACAAAUAGCCUCCGCCGCCGCCGUCUUCACGUCGUUCCUCUGUGCACGAGGAAAGCAAGGGGAGGGGAUCGAUGGUGUCGCUCAAGCUUCAGAAGCGGCUCUCCGCUAGUGUCCUCAAGUGCGGCAGGGGGAAGGUCUGGCUCGAUCCCAAUGAGGUCAGCGAGAUCUCCAUGGCGAAUUCCCGCCAAAAUAUUAGGAAGCUCGUGAAAGAUGGUUUUAUCAUAAGGAAACCAACCAAAAUUCAUUCACGUUCUCGUGCAAGGAGGGCCUUGGAGGCAAAGAGAAAAGGCCGACACUCUGGAUACGGUAAGCGCAGGGGUACAAGGGAAGCAAGGCUUCCCACAAAGGUACUUUGGAUGCGCAGGAUGCGAGUCUUGAGGCGCUUGUUGAAAAAGUACCGUGAAUCCAAGAAGAUCGACAAGCACAUGUACCACGAUAUGUACAUGAAAGUAAAAGGUAAUGUAUUUAAGAACAAACGGGUCCUCAUGGAAACUAUCCACAAAUCUAAAGCCGAAAAGGCCAGAGAGAAGACUUUGGCAGAUCAAUUUGAAGCUAAACGUGCCAAGAGCAAGGCUAGCAGAGAAAGGAAGAUUGCUAGGAGGGAGGAACGCCUUGCUCAGGUGCAAUAUGAUUUCUUUAGUUUUUCUUUCAUUACAAUUGGUCAUGCCGCUCGGAUUUGCUCUAGUGGAUUAAUUCGUCCAUUGUCAUGUUUGAUAAACAAGAAUGAUAAACAAUUUUUUACCAUGUUCUCAGCUCCUUGACUGACAAACUGUUCCAUCUCCCUUGUUUUGCUUACUUUUCUGUGUUGAUUUUGCGGAAAAUAGGGUCCUGCAGAUCGCCCCGCCGCUGCACCACCUGUUGCCCAAACAGAAGCUCCCAAGAAAUCUAAGAAGUAGAGUAUCGGUGGUUGCAGAAUAGGUUCACGGGGACGACGUAGUUCCUUACCUGCUCUUCAAGCAGUAACAUGUCGGGAAAACACUGUUAGAUUUUUUUUUUAUUUGCUUCGAAAAUCCAUGUUUUGCUUCGGUGGACUUGAAAACCAAUUUCUAUUUUCUAAUGCUGGUAUUGAAUUUUGGUUGA
Zingiber officinale is the source of this 1110-nucleotide RNA transcript. It is a transcript of the gene named 60S ribosomal protein L19-3, with no coding region annotated. The record is from RefSeq and is a predicted model, not a curated record. The transcript is spliced from 4 exons. Lineage: Eukaryota; Viridiplantae; Streptophyta; Magnoliopsida; Zingiberales; Zingiberaceae.